AUCCCCAAAACCUCACUUCUCAACUCUAAACCCUAAAACCUAAACUUUAAACCCUAAACCCUAAAUUCUAAAUCCUAAACCCCACCCCUUGAGUGCUAUUUUUGUGACUUUUGGCCUUGAGUGCUAGUUUGGGAACAAAAACUUGAGUUAGUGCUAUUUUGGUAUUUUUCUCAUAUUAAAAUGUAAAACUAUAUUUAAUGCCACGUGUCAUCUUUCGGGAGAAAUUUUUUCCGCUGAUGUGGACACCCUAUGGAGCCUCAAAAGCUUCCUUUUAUUAGUAGAGAUUCUGUUGGAUAAUUCCAAGCUUGUGGAAACUUAACAUUUUAUUAGAUGUUU
This 336-nucleotide long non-coding RNA is filed under the name Brassica napus (rape). RNAcentral's name for it is "long non-coding RNA (BNAP_LNC007709)". Lineage: Eukaryota; Viridiplantae; Streptophyta; Magnoliopsida; Brassicales; Brassicaceae. The record is from RNAcentral.